UUAUUUCCUUGUUCAGUUUGAAACCAGUCGUUUGGAGCAGAUCAGCUCAAAAGGAUCCUUUGUACCAUUUGCAGACUACCUAUCUCCCUCUGGCCUGGAGUCUCGCUCGCCUCUGUUUUCCCCCUAUGGACACACACGAGACUCAGAUCUUGGCUCGUCGUAGAGGAAUCGAUAGCAAGAAUCAACCAGAGAAAGGAUGCACACAAGAGCUCGAGGCAGAGAUGGCGGAGCUCGGGUGAGCUCGAGACUAUGGAUCCAGGGCUUGAGUGCUCACGGGAUGGAGGUGCUCAGGAUGGAGGCAAGGGAGGGUGCCCUGUGGGAAGUGAUUUAUGUGCACUUUGAUCAGGUUUUUUAUAACUGAUGGCAUCUUACAUUGUUGUCUUUUACCGAUUAACUGGUUAACUCUUUUCCUAAAUGGUCUUAGAUUUCUGCUUUCUAUUUGCGCCAGUUUCUUUUUACAAGAGAUGAGAUCUUACACAAUAUAUUUUUGCCUUGGUUGAUCUAAUUAAAAUUUUCCUUCAGCACGUGCAUAUGAUGUUAAUUUAAAGCUAUUUGGAAGUACA
Triticum urartu is the source of this 563-nucleotide long non-coding RNA. RefSeq lists it as uncharacterized. The record is from RefSeq and is a predicted model, not a curated record. Lineage: Eukaryota; Viridiplantae; Streptophyta; Magnoliopsida; Poales; Poaceae.